UAGUAGUAGCCUGACCGCAAGAACAAUGAGUUAGUAUUGGCCUGACAACAAGAACAACGAGGAGGCCAGCAUCUCAUGGUCGUCAGCUGCUAUUUGUAUUCUUUAGAUGUCAGAUCUAAUAACUCACUCAGCAGUUGACUCGGUGAUUUCCCUGGCAGCCUCCUCCACUGGGCCAAACUACAACACCUCUGCCAUAGACCUCUAGCCGUAAGCCAAGAAGAGGUCAUCAACUUGGCCGAAACUUGAGAACGCACUGCCGGACUCAACGAGGUUGUCGAGGAUCCACAUCAUCGAGAAUGCGACGAACGCAUCCGUGCACCCUGCUCAACGGCAAACUGCGCCAGUACCUACACGAAAAGAAAUAGGAAGGAAUGAAUCAGCCAUAAUGGUUUGGGAAUCAAUUUGGUGAUGGCAAGCGGCCUCCAUUUCUUUUUUUCCCAUUAAGGACGAAGGAAAGAAGGAACUAUGUUUUUCCCCUCUGCUAGAAACUAAGGAGAGGCGUACAUUCAGCAAAAAAAUGGGUAAAUGAAAUUACGAUGAACAUUAUGCAAAGCAAGAGGCGAAUGGGAGAGCACAAAGCGAUUCAUACCUGUCAGCAUGUCCGCACCCUAAGAUGACAGGAACGACACACAGAAGAUGGGCCCUGAACCCAACGACACAGCCAUAUGUCUCAGCGGCAAUGAACUACAUAGGCAAAAGUGAGAUGCCGCAUCGCUGGUGGGAGACGCCAGAUCCGCAGCGCAUGUCCUGGCCUCGGCAAAAAAUGGCCACAAAGAUCACCUCCUCCAAGAUUUGGCCAUGGAUGGGCAAGCAAAUCAAACUGCUACAAUAGCUACACUUGCGAAUUGGUAGAGCAUCUCCCCAUGGA
RNAcentral lists this long non-coding RNA (868 nucleotides) under Triticum aestivum (bread wheat). Its description in RNAcentral is "long non-coding RNA (TAES_LNC022580)". Lineage: Eukaryota; Viridiplantae; Streptophyta; Magnoliopsida; Poales; Poaceae. The record is from RNAcentral.